UAUCAUACGCGUCCACUAGUGUCCUAAUAGUCGUGGAUAACAAAUAACAUGUUCAUUACGGCAUAACAAAUGUUAAAUAUUUAAUUUGAAAACAACAGAUCUAAGUUGAUACCGUGUAUGCGGUAGCACAUUCGAGGUACGAGGAUUUACAGUGUUGCCUAAGAACAAGUGUGAAUGUUUGGAUAUAUGAAUGGCAAAUAUAACCACAAAGACUACCAUCUUUUCAGCGGAAAAUAAUUCCUGUGUUAGAUUAAUUGAAUUCAAUAAAAACAUUGGAAACGAUUGAAUUUAAUUUGAAAGGCCGGACGCGUUAACCGCAGAUGGCAUCUUGCAAUCAUAGGCUAAACUGGUUUCGAUUGCCAAGAACCUUCACAAAGACACUGCUGCUAGAAAGAAUACAGUUAUAUGAAGGAUUCUAGACUACACAACUGUACUAUCCCAAAGCAAAUAUCAGGAUGUAAAAUGAAUAUCUUGCAUUGAUAUUAUCGCACCACAUAUGUUAAACUUAAUAUUAACAAGUGCGUUGUUAGGCCAUCUUAAUUGAGUAUCAACAUGUAACUGCAAUGACAAUUUUACAUGUUGACAGUAAAUAGUGUGCUCAAAUCUCAACUAUUUUCGAAGAAUGUAUCUCCGGAAACAUAUGCGUUCGACUUUGUAUAGGAUAACGUAUGAAUUUUGCGAAAUAUAUCGUUGUCUGGCAAACUUAUACCAAGUACGCACACUUUUUUUCGCUUCUUCAACCUUGAAAUGAAGUGCACUGAUACAAACCAGUUGAAUGCGUUUUAGAUAAUUCAAAAACCAAUGAUUGACGUGCGCCUCGCACGUGAAAGUUGUAGUGUUAUCGAUGUGUUAUCUUUCAGAUUAGAUUCAAAAAGUUACCGCAUCUAGUUACACGAGUGAAUGAUUAAACAAUAUUUCUUUUUAAUAAUUCGGUGGUAGCUGAUAGACGUAACAUCGAUAGAUCUAUUAAACACGAGUAAAUAUUGGAAUAUGUGUGCUUAUUAACAUUGUAUGAGUUUGGGGAGUUUUUUCCUUUGAGUUCAUUGAAGAACUUAUUAAGAAAUCAAGACGGAAUUUAAUUAGCUCUUGUGUCACACAGAAAUAAGCAAGGCUAAACUGGUGUUUGCCAUUACUCCAAACACGAAGCCUUCGAAAGAAGAGACGUUGAAUAUGAGUAAUCUUACAGAAAGCAGUAACGUAACAAGCGCUCCAAUUUCUACGAGAGACAUUCUGGAAGAAAAUGUCUCCGAAUGGUUGUGGAAAACUAUACCCAUUCCAUUACUUUGUGUUGGACUAGCAGGAAACAUCCUUACAAUCAAAGUAUUGCUACGAAUGGGAAUACGUAGACAACCAACGUUAACGUUUUUAUUGUUUCUGGCAGUGGCUGACAUGGUCGCACUUUUGACAGUGUUGCCAAGAUAUUGGAUUUAUUACACGUUCGAGUUUGAUAUCAAAACUGUAAGCAACGCGAAUUGUAAGCUAUAUUAUUUUUUCGUGUAUUUAUCAUUCCAUUUUUCGUCUUGGAUUUUAGUUGGCGUCUCCAUAGAGCGUACGGUUAAAACAUAUUUUCCACUAAGGUACAAAAACAUAUACAACUAAGCGGGUGCUUAUAGGCCUCUUCGUGACAUUGUUGCUCCUUUGUUGUAUCAACAUGCAUUUCUUUUUUACGAACGGUAUAAAUGAUUAUACAGAGAAUGAAUGUGGAUCAUUAUCUGCAGAAUAUUUAUAUUUCGACGAAUUCGUUUUUGUGUACAUAGACCUAAGCGUUUCGAGUAUCGUUCCCUUUCUGAUUAUGUUCGUGUGUAAUAUUUUGCUUAUACGAGUUCUCCGAAACGCACAGAGACAGCGACCCAGUUUGAUGCAUGAAAUGUUUGUACAACGAGCCAAUCGGUUCAGUGUGAAAAUGACAAAAAUGCUUGUUGUUGGUACGGUCUACUUCAUAAUAGCUACGGCACCUCUGUGCAUCUACUUUAUUGUCGACUCGUACCUGCUUCCAGGAUAUGAAGAAUCUGAUAAUGUUUCAGCAAUUGCUAGAAUGGACCUAAUUUGGACGGUCUGCUACUUGGUCGCAUUGUCAAACUGCUGCGUAAACUUUUACAUGUACACAGCAAUUAACGACAGAUUCUACAAAGAAUUUAUAGCAAUGCUGCGGUGUAAGCCAAGGUUACGUAGAGCUAGCGUAUACACCACAAGAAUGUCAAACAGCACACGCCGUAGAUCGGAGACAAGUCAGGGAAUAGAGCUUUCUCUAUCUGAGGAGGAACCAUAGAUGCGGCCGAUCGCAAUACCGGGACCGCUAUAAGUUAACCAGUGAAGAAUAUGCGCUAACAUGCCGAUGGAAACAAGGCGGGUUAAUACUUAAGAGUUUUCAUGUUUUUCAGUGGACAAAACCCGCGACGCAGCCGAUCGUAACAGAGAACUAUCAUAACAUACUUCUAUCGUUAUAAAUAUAAAAUGUACUUCUGUGUUUUCAAAUGACAUGCCUGUACAUUAAUUUUCAAAAAGAAUUUCAAGUAUAUAAUAAAACACCAACAGUGAGCAUCAUAUUUGAUUGAAGAUUUGCAUGCCUGCGGAAAUGUGCAUUUCGUCCGUUGUUAGCUUUUACAACGUUCACUUGAUGUUAUGAUAGAUUGUCCUGCGUAUGUUGUCGUUUCGGAAAAUAAAUCUAUAUAUGUGCGUAUAAGAGUUUUACAUAGUUUUGGUUAUAAUAUGCACACAAUUAUUAUAUGUACCCUUACAUAUGUAUUAUUUAUUGUUGUCAAUAAUAAUUGGUUUUCGUUAAAACUAUGUUAAUUUUAGGCAAUUUUUAAAUUAAAGGUAAAAAGUUUAAACGAAUGUGUGCAUAAUAUAAACAAACUUUAACCUCUUAUAAAUAACUUUUGCUUAUAAAGUUUGUGAUCGGUUUGCUUUGUGUGAAAUGUGACAUGUAACAUACAUAAUACUGCAUUUUUAAAGUGUUAUGGAUAAUACUUGGUUUACGAAAAACAAUACGAACAAUGGAUUUGAUAUAAGGUAAUGUUCAUAUUAUUGGUGUUCAAAAUAUAUUGUCUAACAACGUU
Molecule: long non-coding RNA, 3059 nt
Organism: Dreissena polymorpha
Lineage: Eukaryota; Metazoa; Mollusca; Bivalvia; Myida; Dreissenidae
Exons: 2
Source: RefSeq, a predicted model, not a curated record